Molecule: microRNA precursor, 205 nt
Filed under: Oryza punctata
Lineage: Eukaryota; Viridiplantae; Streptophyta; Magnoliopsida; Poales; Poaceae
Description: MIR812 microRNA precursor family
Rfam family: MIR812 microRNA precursor family
Source: Rfam by way of RNAcentral
AAUAGAUGAUGCUAUUGGCUUUUGAGCACACGUUUGACCAUUGGUUUUAUUUAAAAAGUUUACGUAAUUACAAUUUUUUUUGUUGUGAGUUGUUUUAUCAUUAAAAAUAGUUUUAGCGUGAUUUAUAUCUUAUGCAUUUCGCACAGAAUUUUUGAAUAAGACGAAUGAUCAAACGUGUGCUCAAAAGUUAAUGGCAUCAUCUAUU